This 8309-nucleotide long non-coding RNA is filed under the name Homo sapiens (human). RNAcentral's name for it is "HSALNT0354830". The stretch from base 4920 to 4999 matches the Rfam family "mir-181 microRNA precursor family". The record is from RNAcentral. Lineage: Eukaryota; Metazoa; Chordata; Mammalia; Primates; Hominidae.
GCUGCAAGGAAAUCUGGCGCGGUUCAAUACCUCGUCUAGCCUGGGUUCCAGUAUCUAAUUUUUUUUUUGUUUUAACUGACAAACUCAUUUCUCUACUGGGACAGGAUGCUGUGCUGGCUGGAAGUUCCAUUUCUACAGCAAGAAUCCUAUCUGGAAACACAGAAGUUGUCCUCUAGCCACAGCAGCUCGAACUUUUUUGAUUGUCGUUGCUGCUUUCUCCCAUCACCCCCAUCCCCUUUUGACAAAGAUCCAACUGUAAAAAGUCUUACGUAACAGUUCAGGACUACUUCGGUUCUUUUACUGGAAGAGGAUCUGUUCCAAGACUCCCAGCAGACGCCUGAAACUUCGAAUAGUACACAACUCCAUAUAUAUUAUGUUUCUGCCUAUACAUACAUACCUAUGGCAAAGUUUAAUUUAUAAAUUAGGCACAGUAAGACAGUAACAAUAACUGAUAAUAAAAUGGAACAAUUAAAACAAUAUGGUAUAAGUUGGCUGGGCACAGUGGCUCAUGCCUGGAAUCUCACCACUUUGGGAGGCCUAGGUGGGAGGACUGUUUGAGGCAUGGAGUUUGAGACCAGCCUGGGGAACAUAGUGAGACCCUGUCUGUACAAAAAAAAAUUUCUAAAUCAGCCAGGCAUGGUGGCAUGCACCUGCAGUUCUAGCUACUCAGGAGGCUGAGGCGGGAGGAUUACUUGAGCCCAGGAGUUUCAGGAUACAGUGAGCUGUGACUGCACCACUGCACCUCAGCCUGGGCAACACAGCAAGAGACCCUGUCUUUAAAAAAGAAAAAAAAAAAAGUUAUGUGAAUGUGGUCUCUCUCUCAGAAUAUCUUAUUGUACCGUACUCACCUAUUUUUGAAAGUAACUGAAACCACAGAAAGCGAAAACGCAUAUAAUGAGGGACUACUAUAAUUGUGUAAGCACAGAGUUACCAAUUAAUGGUUGGUAUCUGCAAUUGGUACAGAACUUGGUGAAGUCUAAAUAAUUACUUUUCCUGGAACCACUGCUACUGGGUUAUACAUUAUGCUUCAGGGAAAGGUGAUGGCAAGAGUAUUCACUGCUACUGGCCAAGUAGCCACUCGUAACAAGAUGGAGAUCAAAGCUUCCAAAAAAAGCAACAUCGUAUCAGUGACAAGACUAGAUUGAGAAAUCCUGCUCUAUAGCUAUGGUCAGAAUUUCCUAAUCUGAAGUUCACAGACAAACCCACCAAGGAGGUGAUAAAUGAGUUCCUGGAUUCCAUAAUUGAAACUGCUUUCAAAAUGUGUUUAUGUACAUGUAUUUAGGGAGAGAAUCCAUAGCGGAUUUUUAAAUAUUAUCAUCUAAUUUAAUUAGAUAGGGAGAGUUUUAAAUAAUGUUAUCUAAUUUAAUCCUCACAAUCAAUGAAGAAGGUACUAAUAUUCUCAUUUUAUAGACUCAGGAAACUAAAACGUUAUGGGAAAUGAAAACCUUACCAAAAAAGUGGUAGAGCAUUAAUUCCAAAUAUGUCCUUAAAACACAUAUAUGUACACAUACAAUACAACAGCUAGUCAGAGAUUGUUUUAACUAUAAAAGAACAGGUUUUUUAUUAGCAUAUAUGGCCUGGAAGCCAAAUACUGGGGAAAACAAGCAAUUUUAUUUAUUAACAUAGAAAUAAUAGUUGUAAAUUAUCUUAACAACUUAAAUACCUUUAAAAUAACAUAUAAAUCUCCAUUUUAUAGAUAAGGAAGCAAAGAAAUGGAGAGGUUAAGUAAUUUGUCAAAGAUCACAUAGCUAGUAAAAUUCAAAGUCACGAUUCUGGCUCCAAAAUCUGCUCUUUACUAUGCUGUAAAUACUGCUUCUCCAAACAUUUAAUACAUGAAAUUUUUUAACUAUGGUCAUUUUAAAGGGAAAAAAAGCAAGAAGGCCAAAGAAUCAUCCAAUUUGGAAAAGUUUAUUAUAAUAAGGUAUUUCAUUUAUUCUAUUCUCGCACAUAUGAAACAAAAGCAAUGGGAGACAAGAGAAGCAAUUACAUUUGCAUGCUCUUUCAGAUACAUAACCUUAUUGGAUUUUCAUGGCUGUGUGUGCAGGAAGGGCAAGUGCUAUUUGUCUCACAUUUUAAAGAUGAGUUAACUGACACUCUGAGACAUUAAUCUCACUACUCACCAUUACCUAAACAUUUCUGCCUCUAAGAUUUCCUGUACAUGGUUUUCCAUUGGAAUUAGCCCCCUUUCUCUGUCUAGUAAAAAUUCAACUAACCUUUUAAAGCUCAAACCAGGUUAACCUACUUAGAUAUACCUUUCCUGGCACUUGUAGGCAGAAUUAACCCCUCUUUUCUCUGUUCUCCCUUAAUAUAGUUCACACCAAUCCACCAGGCAUCCUCUUUGUCAUCAGUUAUAUUUACGUGUAGCUCCCUAGUCAGAUAGUGGGCUCCAGGAUGGCAAGGGUUUUAUAUACAGGAAAAACAAUCCCUAGGAUUCUACUGCCGAAUCAGUAAAAGGAUGAAUCAGAAAACUAGCACAGUUUGGCAAAAAGAAACAUGAAUUCACACUGACAUGCUGUUGUUAUCUUCAUAACUUAAGAAUUUAUCCUCACGGCUAGCAGCAUUACCCCCAAACACUUAUAGUGAUGCUUCCUGCAUGGUGCUUGGGAAACACCUAGGCAGACGGCACCUGAGACGAUGACUCCUCUUCUAUUAGCUACUAAUCACUCAAUUUUAGUUAUGUGCUGCUGAAGCAAACAUGCUACUAAUCAUCCAGAUACAUUGUUUUAUUGAGUUUAUGCUUAUUUCUUCCAAGUAUAUCAAGAAGUCCCAGGAAGACUAUGAAAACAUUUACAUCCCCAUGUUGGAGACAUGUGGGUUUCAAUAUUUCAUGGUUUCUCUGGAAUAUUGGAAACCACCAAUAUUUCGUGGUUUCUCUGGAAAAGAAAGGAGGUAUGUGAAAUUAAGGAAUGGCAUGGUGAGUUCUAACAAACUCAAAACCAAUCUAAAUCAAGAGUUAAAUAGUUGGAUUGGCUUGUUAAAUGUCAGCCUAUAAUUUUUUUUUUUAGAGACAGAUUCUCACUCUGUCACCCAGGCUGGAGUGCAGUGGUGGAUCACAACUCACUGUAACCUCAAACUCUUGGGCUUAAGGAAUCCUCCCUCCUCAGCCUCCGAAAGUGCUGGGAUUACAUGUGCCACCCUGCCUGGUCACUCUUAGCUAAUUUAACCCUUAACUUUUUUUAACCCUUAGACUUUAUCCUUGCACCGAGUAUAUAAACCCCUUAGCCAAACUCACUUAAAAAACCCAAAUGUGUGCUCAAACUUGCUUGAUGAUAAAAACUAAAGAACUUAAAGGAAUGAGGAUGAUGAAGGCCAUUAUGCCAUGAUACACAAUUAUUUCAAAUACAGUGGGCAACACCCCAUGUCAUUCCAGAAACCUACCUUUCUGUAGUUUUUCAAGUCUGUGAAAAGCAUUCUUUUUAGAAUGCUAUGAAUUUAAGGAAUAAUAUUUUGUAAGCAUCUAAAGGUUUGGUGAAGUCAAAAUCAGUAUUUUUUUUAAAGUCUAAAUAUUUAUCCAAAUAGUAUAAGGCUUGACAUCGCUUUAUAUUAUUGGACCAAGAGGAAGACUUUUUAAAAUAAACCCAUUAAAAAGUUUUAAACAUAUUACACAGUUACAGUUGCCUGAUUUUUUGUGUGUGUAUACAAUUUACUGUCAUAACACUGAAAACUCAACAAAGCUGGCUAAUGCAGAGUUUUGACAGAGGGUGAAUUAAACUGAUAUAGAAGGUAAACAGUUUACAUUCAAACCUAAAUCUCAGUGGUUGAUAUUUUUUCUUUUAACGUGUACCAUUUGGCUGCUUUAAAAAUGAAUUUGAGACCAGUCAGCCUUUAGUAUUUAAACCUAAAGCAAAUAGUAAUAACUAUCCCCAUUUAGAGAUUAACUUCAAUUCAGCAGGCAGUUCUGUAAGCCCUUUUCCUAUUAAGUAUUCCUAGAUCUGUCCCAUUGUAAAUCACAUAUUCUGAAGAUUCAUAUUAUUAAUUCAUUUUUCAAAUUUUUCAUCACAGACAUUCAACAGAAUCAAAAAUAACCACUAUGUCCUAUAAUGUACUGGUAUCGUUUCAGCCAGAACAAAUGACAUCUGACAUUUUAGUUACACUCUGUGUUCUCAACUAAGAAGAAAUGCAAGCUUUACAUUAGGUGGUGGGUUUUUGGUUUAUUUUUUGCUUUUUCAAUAUGGAAAAUAGCUUGUGGACUAUCACUAACACCUCUGUGGUAACUUAGUAAUGCAGGAUCUCAGCAAAGGAGAUCAUCAAUCAUGGAGGUCGAGGUUUUUCAUCUUCCCCUAUGACCUCACCUAUAGACCUACCUGCUAUUAUUAUAGGCAAACAAGUAGAAGAAAUUUACAUGUUUGACUUUGGCUCUGCAGUGAUGGGUCUACUCCUAGAUAUCAACAGUAAGUUCUGUAGUAGACAACAGAAGCAGUAUGAUGAGUGAGCACUGGAAACAUGAAGUCCAGUAUUCAAAUUCUGGCUUAUAACCUUGGCUCCUGGCAAUGUAACUUUAGGCAAAUCACUUCAAGUUUUUUCAUCAGGAAAAUGUGGGUUGUUGAGAAUUUAAUGAGAUAAAAUAUACAAAUCCUAGUAUAUAGCAGAUCCCCAAUAUAUGUUAAUCUCUUACCCUUGUUAACAAUUAAAAUACUACUGCAAAAUCAGGUAUUUUACAUUUUUAGAAUCACAAAAUAAUACCAUUCAAAGACAUUUUCUCAGACAUUCAUUUGAGUCUGCUUGUACAAAUUACUGCACAGUCUAUCCCACAGUUCAUUAGUUCUCUGCUGCACACAAAUUGAUUUUAUAAUUUAAAUACUCUCGACUUGAAACCCAGAGAGGAAUGUAAGAGCAUCCAUCAGCGGUGGUCUCACUGCUCACUGGUUCUUGGGAUGUGGAUGGGAGAAUGAAGAAGGGCUAUCAGGCCAGCCUUCAGAGGACUCCAAGGAACAUUCAACGCUGUCGGUGAGUUUGGGAUUUGAAAAAACCACUGACCGUUGACUGUACCUUGGGGUCCUUACAGACGACACUACAUUUCCUGAAGCAAAAGAGCAAGCUGUACCUUCACAUGUCACAUGAGUUCACCAGAAAUGGUCCUGCAAUCCCCCAAAUGUGGUCCAGUGAAUUUUAUUCCUACUGCUCACUGUUCCUUGCUUUCUGUUGUGUGUUUUAUUAUUAUUUGUUUGUUUUUACAAAAAAAGUGUUUCAUUUCAACAAGGUAAGGAGCAGUCCAUGAUGAUAUCUAAUGUACCUACAUGUCUCCUAGAUAUGCACCAUUCUGGUGAGAAACAGGACGUAGCAAGUAAAAAUUUAUUAAAAAUACGUAUUUUGUUUUGGAAUAAAAUCCAGUUAAAUAAUUACUCCCAUUUCUCCCACAUCCUCUCAAAAUUUUUAAUUAGGGGCAAGGGGAGGAUUUAAUAAGCAAAAAUAGCACAAAAUUAUCCAAUUGUGACAGUUCUUAUCACAUUUCACUUUGAAUUAUAGUUAAUAUGGUUAAUUUUUGAUAUCCCAGUUAGAGCAUGAGCUAUUGCCUUACUAGUGCCCACAUAUCCCCACAUAUGCUUAUUUAAAUGUUUGCUAAAUUCAAGCAAAAACUUAGCCCUGGAGUCAGUCAGAUCUGGGAUGAAUCUUGGCUCAAGCCCUUAACUAGUUAUUUGACCCCCUAAGCAAGUGUCUCAGUUUUCUCACAUAUAAAACAGAGGCUAAGAGUACCUAUCAUGGAGUUUUGAGACUCAAUGAGAUAAUAUAUAAGGUGCUUUGUACCAUUACUAGCCCACAGCAAAUGCUCAAUAUAUGUAAGCUGUUAUUAUUAAACUCCAACAUAAUCUGCUAAUUUACCUCAAAAAAGCACUCAUACUUCUCAGUUCAAAACAAAGAGGAAAAGCAGGUCCCUCAGCUGUGGUUUACAGGUACUAAUAUGCAAGCACUGCCUGUGUGGCGCAGUGCUACCUGUGAGGUUCUCCAAGCACUCCUUCCUUCUCUGAACCACAGCUUCCUCAUCUGCAAUAACCUCCCAGCUCCAAUGUCAAUGUUAUGGACACCUGUGUGGGCCCUCAAUCAUGCAGAUGGCUGGUUACUAAGGGAGAAGCCAGACACACAGACUUCAAAGAACUGAGAUGGAAAAGAAGAGCCAGGAGUCAGCCAGGGAGGGCAAAGGCAACCCCACCAACUGAAAACACUGAUGGCUGCACUCAACAUUCAUUGCUGUCGGUGGGUUUGAGUCUGAAUCAACUCACUGAUCAAUGAAUGCAAACUGCGGACCAAACAACCCAAAGGAAGCAAAAGCAUGUGCAGAGAGUCGCCUGAGUGCAGCAGCUACUGCUGUGAGUGGGAGCUGCUACUAUUUCCAAAACACUAGCUAAAGCUUUUCUUGUUCUCCUUGGUUCUAACAUGGAGUAAGUUCUCUAAAUUCCUAGUACUUUUCUCCUUUUUCAAUAGUCUAGAUUUAAGGAAAUGAUAUUUUAUAGGAAGAAUUAAAUACAUAUCUGGAUAUCACAUCACAUUUUAAAAAUCAGUACAUUCAGAAUUUCUAAACAGAAUCAUAUGCUUAUUAUUUAGAAAUUCAAAUACAAAAAUAUACAAAGUAAAAAUUGAAAAUCCCUUCAAUCAUCAUCUGCAAUCCAUUUCCUCGGAGGAAAACAUGUAUAAUUAUAAUAAACUUAUUAAGAUAAUAAAUAUCAUAACUAGAAUUUAUUUUAUAUCCUUGAAGACCUUUAUCCAUACAUACACAGAUAAAUAGCUGUAAUUUUGCAUGUUUUGGGGGGAGAGUGGCUUAGACAAAAAUAAGCUCAUUUUUACCUAUUGUUCUAUAAUCUAUUUUGUUAUUCAGCUAUAUAUCAUAGACUUCCACAACAGUCUUUUAUGUACUCGUCAUUCUUUUAAAUGGCUAUAUAGUAUGACUUAAUAUGAAUGUUCUGGUUAUUAUUCAGAUGUACAUCAAUAUUCUCUUUUGACAAAAACUAUGAGGCUCAUUCAUUCUAACCUUUGCAAACCAUGUCCCUCAAACAGGAAAAACACCUAAGUGAGAUAGAAGAUGUACAUUUUUCUUAACAAAAAAUUUAAAUGUAGUAUCAACUCUCUAAAUCCUGUAACAUGAGAUAAGCCACUAAAUCCCAUGUUAAAGAAAGAAAAACAAGGCCCUUGGUCAUGAAUAAUUUAUCAUACACUUAAGUCUAAGAAGAAGCAGAUUCUCAUAGCAAAAGUCAAAUAAGACAGUAAGAGAAGAGUCUUGUCAAAUUAGCCUUGACAAUUAAGCAAGCCUUAAUUUGACAAGGCUUUCCUGUCAAAUUAGGAAGGAGAAGUGAUGGGGUAAUGAGACAAGAACCAGAAAGAGAAAUCAAAGCCAAAAGAAAAAUCUAAAGAAAACUAUGAGAGUUCAGAGAAAAUAUCAGGUUCAAGCCAGUGUUUCCCAAACUUCUUGUACACCAGAAUCAUCUAGAGUUGCUUUUAAAAUGGCAAAUUCCUGAGCCCUACUCUAGACGAGGUGAUUUUGGGUCACUGGAAGCUGGAAGCAAAGUAAAUAAAGUUCACUAGCUUAACAUCGGCUUCCUGCCCCCAUCCCACCACCACAUUUCAUGUCAUCCACUUUUCAACUAUUGCCCAACCUUUUGUGUCACCACCUGAAAUCGCCACUAUUCUGCUGAGUGCAGACAGGUAGAGUCACAUUUGUGCUGCUUUUAAGUAUCUCCAGACUACAUAAAAUUUUGCACCAUGUUUGGUGGCCAAAUAUACAUCAAAUUGUGUCUGAUGUUUUAUGGAAAUGAAUGGAUUUGGAUUUACGCUAUCUAAAAAACUAAAACCUACCCAAAGAAAUUACCAAAAGGUUUUUUUGUGUGUGUUUUUCUUUCGUUUGUUUGUUUUUUUGAGACAGUCUUGCUCUGUUUCCCAGGCUGGAGUACAGUGAUGCGAUCUCGGCUCACUGCAACCUCUGCUUCCUGGGUUCAAGUGAUUCUCGUGCCUCAGCCUCUCAAGUAGCUGGCCCGCCACCACACCCAGUCAAUUUUUGUGUUUUUAGAAGAAAUGUGUUUUUAGUAGAGCCAUGUUGGCCAGGCUGGUCUCAGACUCCUGACCUCAAGUGAUCCGCCCGCCUCGGCCGCCCAAAUUGCUGGGAUUAUAGGCAUGAGUCACCGCGCCCGGCCCGAGGGGGUCUUUAUAGAAGAGUUUUUUGUGAGACUGGUAGACACACAGAAGGUACUCCACGCAGUCUUGUUUUUCAAGAUGCUGUGCAUUCUAGGCAUUUAUUUUUAACCAAUUAUUUCCAAAAUUUCUGAAAACAUUAGAAAAGAAUGUCUGACACGUACUUUGAAAAAUGUACACUUGAACAAGCA